CAACGAGCGCAACCCUUGUCAUUAGUUGCUACAUUCAGUUGGGCAUUCUAAUGAGACUGCCGGGUGACAAACCGGAGGAAAGGUGGGGAUGACGUCAAGUCCUCAUGGCCCUUAUAGGUGGGGCUACACACGUCAUACAAUGGAUGGUACAAAGGGUCGCCAACCCGCGAGGGGGAGCCAAUCCCAUAAAGCCAUUCGUAGUCCGGAUCGCAGUCUGCAACUCGACUGCGUGAAGCCGGAAUCGCUAGUAAUCGCGGAUCAGCAUGCCGCGGUGAAUACGUUCCCGGGCCUU
Molecule: ribosomal RNA, 292 nt
Filed under: uncultured Acidovorax sp.
Lineage: Bacteria; Pseudomonadati; Pseudomonadota; Betaproteobacteria; Burkholderiales; Comamonadaceae
Description: partial 16S ribosomal RNA
Rfam family: Bacterial small subunit ribosomal RNA
Source: RNAcentral